This 372-nucleotide long non-coding RNA is filed under the name Elaeis guineensis (African oil palm). RNAcentral describes it as "long non-coding RNA (EGUI_LNC079572)". The record is from RNAcentral. Lineage: Eukaryota; Viridiplantae; Streptophyta; Magnoliopsida; Arecales; Arecaceae.
UAGCCCAGCGGAACGGGCCUUGGUUUCCAACCAAGUGAUCCAGAUUCGAGUCUCGAUGGAUGCCGAGGCCACGAUUAAAAUACCAGACUUAAAUGACCUACGAUGAUUUGAUCCUGGCGUCCUGGGCGCGGGGUCUAGAAAUGGUUUCUAAUCCGCUGUGUGAUGUGGUGGGCUGGAAGUGACGUACUCACCCAACUCGAGAUCUCUCCUCGGGCGUGCUGGGGAGGAGAUUGCAUUUAUUGCUCUCUACAUCGAACAUUCACUCAGCGGGAUGGGGGCUCUCAUGAUCACGUCCAGAGGGGGUUGCUACGCCUGUCGCCCCUCCUCACCCUAUUAUGUCUUACCAAAAAAAAAGAAAAAAAGAUAAAUAUA